GGGCCCAUAGCUCAGUUGGUUAGAGCACCCGGCUGAUAACCGGGAGGUGAGUGGUUCGAGUCCACUUGGGCCCA
This 74-nucleotide transfer RNA is filed under the name bacterium. RNAcentral describes it as "tRNA-Ile". It matches the Rfam family "tRNA". From Rfam's summary of the family: Transfer RNA (tRNA) molecules are approximately 80 nucleotides in length. Their secondary structure includes four short double-helical elements and three loops (D, anti-codon, and T loops). Further hydrogen bonds mediate the characteristic L-shaped molecular structure. tRNAs have two regions of fundamental functional importance: the anti-codon, which is responsible for specific mRNA codon recognition, and the 3' end, to which the tRNAs corresponding amino acid is attached (by aminoacyl-tRNA synthetases). tRNAs cope with the degeneracy of the genetic code in two manners: having more than one tRNA (with a specific anti-codon) for a particular amino acid; and 'wobble' base-pairing, i.e. permitting non-standard base-pairing at the 3rd anti-codon position. The record is from RNAcentral.